RNAcentral lists this transfer RNA (71 nucleotides) under Mirza coquereli (Coquerel's mouse lemur). RNAcentral describes it as "tRNA-Val". The record is from RNAcentral. Lineage: Eukaryota; Metazoa; Chordata; Mammalia; Primates; Cheirogaleidae.
CAAAGUGUAGCUUAACAUAUAAAGCACCCGGCUUACACCCAGAAGAUCUCACAAAAACGUGACCACUUUGA